Odocoileus virginianus texanus is the source of this 472-nucleotide non-coding RNA. The record is from RefSeq and is a predicted model, not a curated record. NCBI's taxonomy places the organism in Eukaryota, Metazoa, Chordata, Mammalia, Artiodactyla, Cervidae.
GGCUGUAAAUAUCACCACAUGUCUUCUCUGCAGACUCUGACGGGGCCUGACUACGUAGGUGCGGCAGAGGAAGCCACAACCACAGCGCGCAGCCUCCACGUGCUAGUAGGUGCACUAAGGCCUCACUCUGGCUGCCCUGGCCACCCUCCCUGCUCCACCCAAGACCAUCAGAGAGUACCCAGCCCACUGCUCAUCCAUGUACCCUCUGCUGCCAUAUAAGCCCUGAGGCAGAAUCUGCUCACGGUGGAGGCGGGCUGGCGAUGGGUCACCAACCCAGGGCUUUGGCUGCAAGCAGCCCCGCAAGCAGCAGGUGUUAACAGGACAAAAUCAAGCAUCUAAAAUCACACAGCUGGUCCACGGGGGAGCUGAGAUUGGAAACCAGAACCAAGGACUGCAAAGCUCCUUCCACCACAGUCCUGGUUCCUCCCACCCCACCAUAGCCUGAGGGUUAAAAUCUGACAUGUUCUAAGCA